UGACGGUACCUGCAGAAGAAGCCCCGGCCAACUACGUGCCAGCAGCCGCGGUAAUACGUAGGGGGCGAGCGUUGUCCGGAUUUAUUGGGCGUAAAGAGCUCGUAGGCGGUUCGAUAAGUCGGAUGUGAAAUCUCCACGCUCAACGUGGAGGGGCCAUUCGAUACUGUCGUGACUCGAGUCCGGUAGGGGAGUGUGGAAUUCCCGGUGUAGCGGUGAAAUGCGCAGAGAUCGGGAGGAACACCCGUAGCGAAGGCGGCACUCUGGGCCGGUACUGACGCUGAGGAGCGAAAGCGUGGGGAGCAAACAGGAUUAGAUACCCUGGUAGUCCACGCCGUAAACGUUGGGCACUAGGUGUGGGACUCUAUCGACGGGUUCCGUGCCGUAGCUAACGCAUUAAGUGCCCCGCCUGGGGAGUACGGCCGCAAGGCUAAAACUCAAAGGAAUUGACGG
RNAcentral lists this ribosomal RNA (450 nucleotides) under uncultured bacterium. RNAcentral's name for it is "bacterial SSU rRNA". It matches the Rfam family "Bacterial small subunit ribosomal RNA", at positions 470 to 916 of the family's 1533-position model. The record is from RNAcentral.